Molecule: ribosomal RNA, 979 nt
Filed under: Micromonospora pattaloongensis
Lineage: Bacteria; Bacillati; Actinomycetota; Actinomycetes; Micromonosporales; Micromonosporaceae
Description: bacterial SSU rRNA
Rfam family: Bacterial small subunit ribosomal RNA
Source: RNAcentral
GAACUGGGCGGGCGUGCUUACCAUGCAAGUCGAGCGGAAAGGCCCUUCGGGGUACUCGAGCGGCGAACGGGUGAGUAACACGUGAGCAACCUGCCCUAGGCUUUGGGAUAACCCCGGGAAACCGGGGCUAAUACCGAAUAGGACCUGGCCUCGCAUGAGGCUGGGUGGAAAGUUUUUCGGCCUGGGAUGGGCUCGCGGCCUAUCAGCUUGUUGGUGGGGUGAUGGCCUACCAAGGCGACGACGGGUAGCCGGCCUGAGAGGGCGACCGGCCACACUGGGACUGAGACACGGCCCAGACUCCUACGGGAGGCAGCAGUGGGGAAUAUUGCACAAUGGGCGGAAGCCUGAUGCAGCGACGCCGCGUGAGGGAUGACGGCCUUCGGGUUGUAAACCUCUUUCAGCAGGGACGAAGCGUAAGUGACGGUACCUGCAGAAGAAGCGCCGGCCAACUACGUGCCAGCAGCCGCGGUAAGACGUAGGGCGCGAGCGUUGUCCGGAUUUAUUGGGCGUAAAGAGCUCGUAGGCGGCUUGUCGCGUCGACUGUGAAAACCCGCAGCUCAACUGCGGGCCUGCAGUCGAUACGGGCAGGCUAGAGUUCGGUAGGGGAGACUGGAAUUCCUGGUGUAGCGGUGAAAUGCGCAGAUAUCAGGAGGAACACCGGUGGCGAAGGCGGGUCUCUGGGCCGAUACUGACGCUGAGGAGCGAAAGCGUGGGGAGCGAACAGGAUUAGAUACCCUGGUAGUCCACGCUGUAAACGUUGGGCGCUAGGUGUGGGGGGCCUCUCCGGUUCCCUGUGCCGCAGCUAACGCAUUAAGCGCCCCGCCUGGGGGAGUACGGCCGCAAGGCUAAACUCAAAGGAAUUGACGGGGGCCCGCACAAGCGGCGGAGCAUGCGGAUUAAUUCGAUGCAACGCGAAGACCCUUACCUGGGUUUGACUUGGCCGCAAACCGGCAGAGAUGUCGGGUCCUUCGGGGGCGGU